This 73-nucleotide transfer RNA is filed under the name Paramuricea clavata. It matches the Rfam family "tRNA". Rfam says of the family: Transfer RNA (tRNA) molecules are approximately 80 nucleotides in length. Lineage: Eukaryota; Metazoa; Cnidaria; Anthozoa; Malacalcyonacea; Plexauridae. The record is from Rfam by way of RNAcentral.
GACCGCGUAGCUCCGUUGGCAGAGCAUUGGGCUAGUAUUCCAAAGGUCGUAGGUUCGAUUCCCACCGUGGCCA